CAAAUAAAAAUAUAAAUCUCGUUACCGCUUAUCAAUCAACAUAAAAUAUAAUGAAAAUUAAUCUCGAAUAAUAAUAAAUAAUUAUAUAUUAAACCGAAAAUUGGAAUGGAUAGAAGCAGCGUGUAACCAUUGAUUGGAUUGUCCCGUAGUUAAUAAUAAUAUUACACAGACAACGGGAAGAAUUUUCAACAUUUUGGAGUCUUCGUGCACAUCAGAGCCAUUAAAAAAAUAUUUUCAAGUGUGAAAAAGAACGUUAAGCGAUACGAAUCAAAAAAUUCACAGGCGUUAAAAUGACUGCAUCGUCAACGGACA
Long non-coding RNA from Culicoides brevitarsis, 312 nucleotides. RefSeq lists it as uncharacterized. Lineage: Eukaryota; Metazoa; Arthropoda; Insecta; Diptera; Ceratopogonidae. The record is from RefSeq and is a predicted model, not a curated record. The transcript is spliced from 3 exons.